AGUGGUUUCUAUUCGCAGGUGUAUGUUCUAAGGGUCGGAAAUGUGGGCUAUUUAUAGGUUUUUGGGCGAGCUAGUUAGGUGAGGCGCUGGGGACACAUGUCGUGGCCGUUGCCACUAAGCUAUGCUCAAUGGGCGACACCCGAACCUGACACAUCGUGGAGGCGACACCCGGCCGUGAGUCACCGCCCAGCUGUCGGUAGAACGUCCUCAGCCACACAUUAAGUCGGCCCGCUUAAGCACCUCCGUGGCCGGUCAAGGACCACUUGAUCUUCGCGGGCGGACAUGGCCGAUUUUCAACCACAGCAAAUCGGAGCAUCUUACCCACCUGCUCGCCGCCAUAAGCUGGUCGAUGACGUGGCCGACUCUUGGCCGCACCUCUACUGCACACGCCGACCAUGGUUGAACACACGUAUGCCUCGGCCGAAUUCACGCCGCCACAGGUUGCCCACACU
This 452-nucleotide long non-coding RNA is filed under the name Arabidopsis thaliana (thale cress). RNAcentral describes it as "ncRNA (AT2G04995)". The record is from RNAcentral. Lineage: Eukaryota; Viridiplantae; Streptophyta; Magnoliopsida; Brassicales; Brassicaceae.